Megalopta genalis is the source of this 2070-nucleotide non-coding RNA. Lineage: Eukaryota; Metazoa; Arthropoda; Insecta; Hymenoptera; Halictidae. The record is from RefSeq and is a predicted model, not a curated record.
ACUACCGCUUUCUUCUUACCACGGGUUGGACGAUAGCAAAGAGGUUCUAAUUGCUACUUUGCAGAUAAGAGCCUGUAUCAAAGUAGCCUACGUGGAUCGAGAGGAAAUAAUUGCUCCCUGACGGAGAAAACAAAAUAGCUGGCUGACCGAUCUUAACGCAGCGGGUUCAAAGGGACUGCGAGCAAAGCUUCGAGUUCUGUUGCGCUGCACUGCGAAAACACAGCCUUCCGCUGAAUCAGUUUCAGCAAAGAUGGUCCCAAGACUUCUCUGUUUACAGUUCCACCAGGUCCACAGGCUCGCUAUAUCCUUACCUUGAAGCGCACUCGAGUCUACCAGGCUCCCAGGAGCUGGCCCCUGUUAUCUUUCAUCAGAAUGCAACUAGGAAUACGUACUCGACACCAUCAGAUUACUCGAAUCACUAACUCCCGCUAGCUUCCAACGGAUUCUUCGAUAUUGGCGUCAGUAUGCUGAGCUCCUGGUCCGAAUUCGGUGGUGUCAGGGUAUCCGCCGGUGUCCUCGACAGCACUCUGGCCUGGCCAACCUUGGACUCCGCCGUGGCGCCCUCUAUCUGCUCCUUCGCUUCUCCGGGAUUGUUCACCGUGCACUUCUUGUAGUGAGUCCUCAUGUUGCUGCUCUGGGAGAACCUGAGGCCGCAAUUGGGGCAGGAGUACGGCUUGGUGCCGGUGUGGUAGUUCAAGUGGGUCUUCAGGUGGUGCUUCUUGGUGAAAGCUUUCGAGCACAGCGUGCACUGAUACGGCUUCAAUCCGGAAUGAAGCCUGGUGUGCAGAGUCAUGUUCGAUCUGUCCGCGAAAGCCUUCUGGCAGACCUGGCACUGGUACGGCCGCUCCCCGGAAUGGGUCCUCAGGUGCUGCUUCAGCAACAUUUUCCGCGAGAAAGCCUUGCCGCACUGCUCGCACUGGUGCGGCUUCACGCCCGUGUGGAUCCGGACGUGCAUGUUGUACGCGACCCGCUGGUUGAAGCUUUUCCCGCAUUCCGCGCACCCGUAUUCCUUCCGGUUGCGGUGGAUCUUCAUGUGAGAGCUCAGGUAACCCCGGUCGUUGAAGUACUUGCCGCAUUCCGGGCAGGUGGCCGCGAACUCCCUGGUGCCCUCGUGAACGCUCCGGUGGUACUUGUAGUUUCGCAGCUGUGAGAACUGCUUGCCGCAAUCCGCGCAGCGAAACGGCUUUUCACCGGAGUGCGUCCUGACGUGCACCUGAAACAGACCCACGGGGAAUCGUCUUGGGACUUCGGUGAUUGAUUGCCCGCCAGACGAGCUCCGUCCUCGGGCAUCUGCCCGCGCGCCCGUUCGAGAAACCGCUGAUCUUUUGCCUCGUACUUUCACGGGGAACGAUUCAUAGUUUACGCGAUCUCGAAUCGGUACCGAGCCGAUUGUUUUUGUGGAUGCACCGGUGACCCUGUCAGGUAAAUAAAGGAGAAACUGAUAGGCCGCGAUUGGAGAACUGACGAACGUGGGAGAGGACUGGAAGAGAGAAUGGAAAGAAUAAUACAAAUAAAUAAUACAUGUGCGAAGAGGAGAUCAGAAUGAAAUAAAAACUAGAGGACGGCCGAACGAGAAAAGGGCAACUAAUAUACAGGGUGGGCCGGAAUUCGUAGAACAAGCAAGCAGAGGGUGACUCUACAAGAAAAAAUAAGAAACAAAUUUGGCAUAACAUUGUUUUAUCCGGGGCUCCGUUUUCGAGAAAAUCGAUUUUAAGGACUCUUCGUAAAGAAUUUAGUUGUAUUUUCUUCUACCGCAGUUGCCUCCGUCCGAGAUAGUGUUUACAAACAUUAACGAUGAUGGACGCAUACCGUUUACUACAUAGUUCGCAACAAGUUAAUUUUAAGGACAAUUUUUUCGAAAACGAGGCCUCGGAUAAAAGAAAAUACACCAAAUUUGUUUAUUUUUCCACGAAGAAUCACCCUCUGCUCGGUUGUACUACGAAUUCCGACCCACCCUGUAUAGUUAUAAUAGUGAAAGUAAAGUACUGUAAAGAAAAUCCGAAAUCAUGUAAAAUGUGUACGGACAGUGUAAUAAAUAGUAGUGUAAUAAAAAAGUAGUCCCAUCAUUAA